CAGCAGCCGCGGUAAAACGGAGGGUGCAAGCGUUAAUCGGAAUUACUGGGCGUAAAGCGCACGCAGGCGGUCUGUCAAGUCAGAUGUGAAAUCCCCGGGCUUAACCUGGGAACUGCAUUUGAAACUGGCAGGCUAGAGUCUUGUAGAGGGGGGUAGAAUUCCAGGUGUAGCGGUGAAAUGCGUAGAGAUCUGGAGGAAUACCGGUGGCGAAGGCGGCCCCCUGGACAAAGACUGACGCUCAGGUGCGAAAGCGUGGGGAGCAAACAGGAUUAGAUACCCCAGUAGUCCCUGUCUCUUAUAC
This 301-nucleotide ribosomal RNA is filed under the name uncultured bacterium. Its description in RNAcentral is "partial 16S ribosomal RNA". It matches the Rfam family "Bacterial small subunit ribosomal RNA", at positions 509 to 807 of the family's 1533-position model. The record is from RNAcentral.